This 433-nucleotide ribosomal RNA is filed under the name uncultured bacterium. RNAcentral's name for it is "partial 16S ribosomal RNA". It matches the Rfam family "Bacterial small subunit ribosomal RNA", at positions 29 to 507 of the family's 1533-position model. The record is from RNAcentral.
AACGAACGCUGGCGGCAUGCCUAACACAUGCAAGUCGAACGAGACCUUCGGGUCUAGUGGCGCACGGGUGCGUAACGCGUGGGAACCUGCCCUUAGGUUCGGAAUAACUCCCGGAAAGGGGUGCUAUUACCGGUUAAGUUCUUCGGCCCAAAGAUUUAUCGCCUUUGGUUGGGCCCGCGUUGGAUUAGCUAGUUGGUAGGGUAAAAGCCUACCAAGGCGACGAUCCAUAGCUGGUCUGAGAGGAUGAUCAGCCACACGGGGACUGAGACACGGCCCAGACUCCUACGGGAGGCAGCAGUGGGGAAUAUUGGACAAUGGGCGAAAGCCUGAUCCAGCAAUGCCGCGUGAGUGAUGAAGGCCUUAGGGUUGUAAAGCUCUUUUACCCGGGAUGAUAAUGACAGUACCGGGAGAAUAAGCUCCGGCUAACUCCGUG